RNAcentral lists this ribosomal RNA (160 nucleotides) under uncultured bacterium. Its description in RNAcentral is "partial 16S ribosomal RNA". It matches the Rfam family "Bacterial small subunit ribosomal RNA", at positions 355 to 507 of the family's 1533-position model. The record is from RNAcentral.
UGGGGAAUAUUGGACAAUGGGCGAAAGCCUGAUCCAGCCAUGCCGCGUGUGUGAAGAAGGUCUUCGGAUUGUAAAGCACUUUAAGUUGGGAGGAAGGGCAGUAAGCUAAUACCUUGCUGUUUUGACGUUACCGACAGAAUAAGCACCGGCUAACUCUGUG